RNAcentral lists this non-coding RNA (123 nucleotides) under unclassified sequences. The record is from RNAcentral.
GUCUUCAGAAGAUGACAAGCCUGUGGGGCGUAAGUAAUAAGUCAUCAAUAACCGACAUUAUUGAGUUAUCGGCUGUCUGUCGGGACAGUGCUUAUUAUGAUCGUGCAGACGUUAAAAUCAGGU